CUUCACCAUAUCCUCCGACAAAACUGACCAAAUCAAGAUAAGAACAAUAUCAGGUAGCACCAUGGAGUUGAUUGUCAGUGCACGAAAUAGCAAAAAUAAUAAUCUUCAGCAGCCAAAUUACAGAAUAACUUCAGUGUCAAUUUUAAGCACACAUUGCUUACCACAGUCCAUAGCCAACCAACAAGAAUCGAUAAAUAAAAUUCAUGGAAGAAGGGGUGUCAAGGGAGCACUGAGCAUAGGCUUACAUUGGUAUACCAUAACGGAUGAAGGGUAUAGUUAUGUAUGUAGGCUCGGUGCUAACAGACUCUCUGAGCUGCUCGCCAAUAAGCUUUCAAAUUAAUUGGCGGAUCUAAAAGGUGCGCAUGUCUACGACUACGAUUGCCACUUUGAAACGCAAUAGCAGCCGGAUAUUUCGGGACCCGUGUGGGGAACCGCAAAUCUGCAACACCAAGCUGCAGACUCUAGCUCCGCCAUGAAGCAUGGCGAACGUAGUAGCUACAGGCUUACAGUAUGCAAAUAACAGCAGCUCGUGAGUACUGAAGGGAGACGUACGGGAGUUGCCGCAGCCGAGCAUCA
This 576-nucleotide unclassified non-coding RNA is filed under the name Zea mays. Its description in RNAcentral is "misc RNA Zm00001eb287300". Lineage: Eukaryota; Viridiplantae; Streptophyta; Magnoliopsida; Poales; Poaceae. The record is from RNAcentral.